CGAGCGAGAAGCCCGCAAGGGUGAGUAAAGCGGCGCACGGGUGAGUAACACGUGGGUAAUCUUCCUUGGAGCCCGGAAUAACUCCCCGAAAGGGGUGCUAAUGCCGGAUGAGACCACGGGAUCUCCGGAUCCUGAGGGAAAAGGCGGCCUCUGUACACAAGCUGUCACUCCAAGAUGAGCCCGCGGCCCAUCAGCUAGUUGGCGGGGUAAUGGCCCACCAAGGCAUCGACGGGUAGCUGGUCUGAGAGGACGAUCAGCCACACUGGAACUGAGACACGGUCCAGACUCCUACGGGAGGCAGCAGUGGGGAAUUUUGCGCAAUGGGCGAAAGCCUGACGCAGCAACGCCGCGUGUGUGAUGAAGGUCUUCGGAUCGUAAAGCACUGUCGGGAGGGACGAAUAAGGCGGCGGCUAAUAUCCGCAGCCGAUGACGGUACCUCCAAAGGAAGCACCGGCUAACUCUGUGCCAGCAGCCGCGGUAAUACAGAGGGUGCAAGCGUUGUUCGGAAUUAUUGGGCGUAAAGCGCGUGUAGGCGGCCUUGCAAGUUGGGUGUGAAAGCCCUCGGCUUAACCGAGGAAGUGCGCCCAAAACUACAGGGCUUGAGUACCGGAGAGGGUGGCGGAAUUCCC
This 629-nucleotide ribosomal RNA is filed under the name uncultured bacterium. RNAcentral's name for it is "bacterial SSU rRNA". It matches the Rfam family "Bacterial small subunit ribosomal RNA", at positions 63 to 671 of the family's 1533-position model. The record is from RNAcentral.